This 853-nucleotide ribosomal RNA is filed under the name uncultured Sebacinales. Its description in RNAcentral is "eukaryotic LSU rRNA". The stretch from base 169 to 853 matches the Rfam family "Eukaryotic large subunit ribosomal RNA", at positions 1 to 666 of the family's 3401-position model. Lineage: Eukaryota; Fungi; Basidiomycota; Agaricomycetes; Sebacinales. The record is from RNAcentral.
GAUGCUGCCGUUGAUGUCGACGGCUCGUCUGAAAUGCCUGAGUGUACCCCGCUUUGCGGCGUAUUCGGUGUGAUACAUCUUCACCGGAGUUGAUCCUUGUGGUCGCGUCUGURACGGUGUGGCUCUAUGCUUCCAAYCGUCUCUUUGGUUAGACAAUCUCUGACAAUUUGACCUCAAAUCGGGUGGGACUACCCGCUGAACUUAAGCAUAUCAAUAAGCGGAGGAAAAGAAACUAACAAGGAUUCCCCUAGUAACGGCGAGUGAAGAGGGAAAAGCUCAAAUUUUGAAUCUGGUGUCUUUGACUCCCGAGUUGUAAUCUAGAGAAGUGUUUUCCGUGUCGGACCGUGCACAAGUUCCCUGGAACGGGGCGUCAUAGAGGGUGAGAAUCCCGUAUAUGGCAUGGACUACCGAUGCUUUUGUGAUACACUCUCAACGAGUCGAGUUGUUUGGGAAUGCAGCUCAAAAUGGGUGGUAAAUUCCAUCUAAAGCUAAAUAUUGGCGAGAGACCGAUAGCGAACAAGUACCGUGAGGGAAAGAUGAAAAGCACUUUGGAAAGAGAGUGAAACAGUACGUGAAAUUGUUGAAAGGGAAGCGUUUGAAGUCAGUCAUAUCUGGCGGGAUUCAGCCGGGCUUUUGCCAGGUGUACUUCUCGUCCGAUGGGUCAGCAUCAAUUUCGACCGGGGGAAAAAGGCAUUGGGAAUGUGGCUGUCUUCGGGCAGUGUUAUAGCCUCGUGUUGUAUGCCUCGGUUGGGAUUGAGGAACGCAGCGCGCCGCAUGGCCAGGGGUUCGCCUCUUGACACGCGCUUAGGAUGCUGGCAUAAUGGCUUUAAGCGACCCGUCUUGAAACACGGAC